GACGAACGCUGGCGGCGUGCUUAACACAUGCAAGUCGAACGGAAAGGCCCUGCUUUUGUGGGGUUCUCGAGUGGCGAACGGGGGAGUAACAGGUGAGUAACCUGCCCUUGACUUUGGGAUAACUUCAGGAAACUGGGGCUAAUAUCGGACAGGAGCUCCUGCUGCGUGGAGGGGGGUGGAAAGUUGCGGCGGGUGGGGAUGGACUCGCGGCUUAUCAGCUUGUUGGUGGGGUAGUUGCUUACCAAGGCUUUGACGGGUAGCCGGCAUGAGAGGGUGACCGGCCACCUUGGGACUGCGGUACGGCCCAGACUCCUACGGGAGGCAGCAGUGGGGAAUAUUGCACAAUGGGCGGAAGCCUGAUGCAGCAACGCCCCGUGCGGGAUGACCGCCUUCGGGUUGUAAACCGCUUUAGCCUGUGACGAAGCGUGAGUGACGGUAAUGGGUAAAGAAGCACCGGCUAACUUCGUG
This 468-nucleotide ribosomal RNA is filed under the name uncultured bacterium. Its description in RNAcentral is "partial 16S ribosomal RNA". It matches the Rfam family "Bacterial small subunit ribosomal RNA", at positions 28 to 507 of the family's 1533-position model. The record is from RNAcentral.